This 424-nucleotide ribosomal RNA is filed under the name Verrucomicrobiota bacterium. RNAcentral's name for it is "Verrucomicrobia bacterium partial 16S ribosomal RNA". It matches the Rfam family "Bacterial small subunit ribosomal RNA", at positions 355 to 776 of the family's 1533-position model. Lineage: Bacteria; Pseudomonadati; Verrucomicrobiota. The record is from RNAcentral.
UGAGGAAUAUUGGUCAAUGGGCGAGAGCCUGAACCAGCCACGUCGCGUGAAGGAAGACUGACCUUACGGUUUGUAAACUUCUUUUGUAGAGGGGUAAUGGCAGAUACGUGUAUUUGCGUGAAAGUACUCUACGAAUAAGCAUCGGCUAACUCCGUGCCAGCGGCCGCGGUAAUACGGGGAUGCGAGCGUUAUCCGGAAUUAUUGGGUUUAAAGGGUGCGCAGGUGGCUAAUCAGGUCAGUGGUGAAAAGCUAUGGCUCAACCAUGGUCUUGCCAUUGAAACCGUAUAGCUAGAGAGGAGACGAGGUAGGCGGAAUGUGUGGUGUAGCGGUGAAAUGCAUAGAUAUCACACAGAACUCCGAUUGCGAAGGCAGCUUACCAGGCUUUAUCUGACACUUAGGCACGACAGCGUGGGGAUCAAACAGG